GGACCACAGAGAAUCACCUAGCUUAGUAGUGAUGUCCAGGUCCUAUUACAGGACCACAGAGAAUCACCUAGCUUAGUAGUGAUGUCCAGGUCCUAUUACAGGACCACAGAGAAUCACCUAGCUUAGUAGUGAUGUCCAUGUCCUAUUACAGGACCACAGAGAAUCACCUAGCUUAGUAGUGAUGUCCAGGUCCUAUUACAGGACCACAGAGAAUCACCUAGCUUAUUAGUGAUGUCCAGGUCCUAUUACAGGACCACAGAGAAUCACCUUGCUUAGUAGUGAUGUCCAGGUCCUAUUACAGGACCACAGAGAAUCACCUAGCUUAGUAGUGAGUAGUGACUCACUCUCUCUAAACUGGGAAUAAAACCUUAUGUGACCAACGCAUCUCUUCAUGACUCAUAUCUGGGUUGGGGUCAAUUCCAUGUAAAUUCCAGUCAAUAUAGGAAGUGAACUGAAAUUCCAAUUCCAAUUAUCUUUAAUGCUUUUCAAUUAGGAACAUUUGGAAUUAGGAAUUUUGGUUUACUUUCUAAAUUGACUGGAAUUGAAAUGGAAACAACCCCAACCCUGACUCACAAAAAAAAAGAUAUAUAUAUACCUGUACCGUUAUACCUACAUAGGUGCAGUUAGCGAAGAAGGGAGGCCUACCUGAACUCUGACCUCCACAGAAACCUAUAGAUUCAAAGCCAUAUACUUUAGAGCACACAGCUCAUCAUCAUACGCUAGCUUUAAAUGUGUUGAUAAUCCCUUACAUUCUUUUCUAUGACAAAUGUAACAUUGUCCCUUUGUCUCUUUCAAGGGUUCUUAAUGGUCACAUGAUAGGAGCAUAGAGCAGACCGUGGCUCAUAUCCACAGAGUCUCAGAGUAGGAGCACUGAUAUAAGAUCAGUUUGGCCUUUUAUGUCAUGAUGAAUAUAUUAUCUAAAUUACAGGGGGGCACACGUUCCUAAAUCAGCAGUCCAACUCCGAGACGCUAUUUUAAUACGGGCAAAGAGCAGAGGCCCAUGCCUCACUGAACCCGGUUUACACUGACUUGAAGUCAGCUCAGCUCAGCACAGCGAAGAAUGAGAUCACUCAAACCAAGAUCUUUGGAGCGGAACCAACGGCUGUUAGGCUAUUCAAAUGAAUUAACAAACGACCUUCAAUUAAAACAGAUCAGACAAGGAGGGCAUUUAUCAAUUCAAUAGGCACUCUCAGAAAUGUGGCCUCCCUCCAGUCCGUCAUUCUUCGAUGCCUGCACGGCACCAGUCACAGACAGACAGACGGAAAGACAGAUUGACAGACAGGUGGCCAGACAUUCUGUAAGAACAACACAAAUAUAUACUGUACUGUACAUGUCAAUGAAAAAUUCACAGUAAAAUUUUAAUUCAGUACAAUUUCAAGAAAAAUACUCGACAUUGCCGUUGAGCAAUUUUUUACUUUUUUACUUCAAAUGUAUCUUUUUACUGAAAUGCCUCAGCAGCAUCAUAUCUCAGGUUUUUUCUUUUAGUUUUGGAAGAAAAAUCGAAUAAAAUAAACAAACACUGGUAAUAAAGAAGCAGUCAAUCCAGAAUGUUGUCACAGAGAGGUCUGAUAAAGUGUAUAUUAAACAUCACAUCCAGAUGGUCUUGUCUUUUAUUUCAAACUGCCGAGCCAGCCAGCUAGCCAGCCAGCCAGGCCAUAUCUGACCAAUCUCUGAGAGACAAGUCAAUCUCUUCUGGGCUCUGCCAAUACAGUCUCCUCAGACAGCUAGAAGAUAAAUCCCCGGUUAGCAACAAAAACACAAUCAAUAAAGAUAGCAUGUAAACAAACCACAGAGGAGGGAACCGAUGGGUGGAGAGGAGAGAAAGAGAGAAAGAAAGAUGGAGAAGGUGCUGAAGAUAG
This 1859-nucleotide long non-coding RNA is filed under the name Salmo salar (Atlantic salmon). RNAcentral describes it as "lncRNA (ENSSSAG00000113545.1)". The record is from RNAcentral. Lineage: Eukaryota; Metazoa; Chordata; Actinopteri; Salmoniformes; Salmonidae.